UUUUCAGCAAGAUGAGUUUGUAUCAUGGCUCAGGAUGAACGCUAGCGACAGGCCUAACACAUGCAAGUCGAGGGGCAUCGGGACGUAGCAAUACGUUGCCGGCGACCGGCGGAUGGGUGAGUAACGCGUAUGCAACCUACCCGUAGCAGGGGGAUAGCCCGUUGAAAGACGGAUUAAUACCCCGUAACACAGGGGCUCCGCAUGGAGAUUAUUGUUAAAGGGUCAUUUCUUUUUCAGGGAUGGUCCGGCUGCGGAUGGGCAUGCGUUCCAUUAGGUAGUUGGUGUAGGUAACUGCUCACCAAGCCGACGAUGGAUAGGGGAACUGAGAGGUUGGUCCCCCACACUGGUACUGAGACACGGACCAGACUCCUACGGGAGGCAGCAGUGAGGAAUUUUGGUCAAUGGACGCAAGUCUGAACCAGCCAUGUCGCGUGAAGGAGGACGGCCCUAAGGGUUGUAAACUUCUUUUGCAGUGGAAUAAAGUUUGCCACGUGUUGGCGAUUUGCAAGUACGCUGCGAAUAAGGAUCGGCUAACUCCGUGCCAGCAGCCGCGGUAAUACGGAGGAUCCAGGCGUUAUCCGGAUUUAUUGGGUUUAAAGGGUGCGCAGGCGGGGAAUUAGGUCGGCGGUGAAAUUUCGGGGCUCAACCUCGACAGUGCCGUUGAAACCGUUUCUCUUGAGUGCGGAUGAGGUAGGCGGAAUUUGUGGUGUAGCGGUGAAAUGCGUAGAUAUCACAAGGAACACCGAUUGCGGAGGCAGCUUACUAAACCGUUACUGACGCUCAUGCACGAAGGCGUGGGGAUCAAACAGGAUUAGAUACCCUGGUAGUCCACGCAGUAAACGAUGAUUACUUGCUGUUUGCGAUACACAGUAAGCGGCGAAGCGAAAGCGUUAAGUAAUCCACCUGGGGAGUACGUUCGCAAGAAUGAAACUCAAAGGAAUUGACGGGGGCCCGCACAAGCGGAGGAACAUGUGGUUUAAUUCGAUGAUACGCGAGGAACCUUACCCGGGCUUGAAAUGCAUUCGACGGGGUUGGAAACAGCCUUUCCCUUCGGGGCGGAUGCGUAGGUGCUGCAUGGUUGUCGUCAGCUCGUGCCGUGAGGUGUCGGCUUAAGUGCCAUAACGAGCGCAACCCCUGUCGUCAGUUACCAUCGGUAUAAGCCGGGGACUCUGGCGAGACUGCCAUCGUAAGAUGCGAGGAAGGUGGGGAUGACGUCAAAUCAGCACGGCCCUUAUGUCCGGGGCGACACACGUGUUACAAUGGGCGGUACAGCGGGGCGCUACCCGGCGACGGGGAGCCGAUCCCGAAAUCCGCUCACAGUUCGAAUCGGAGUCUGCAACUCGACUCCGUGAAGUCGGAUUCGCUAGUAAUCGCGCAUCAGCCACGGCGCGGUGAAUACGUUCCCGGGCCUUGUACACACCGCCCGUCAAGCCAUGGAAGUCGGGGGUACCUGAAGUUCGUAACCCUUCGGGGAGCGACCCAGGGUAAAACCGGUGACUGGGGCUAAGUCGUAACAAGGUCGCCGAUCAUUCCCCAGUACAU
RNAcentral lists this ribosomal RNA (1542 nucleotides) under uncultured bacterium. RNAcentral describes it as "bacterial SSU rRNA". It matches the Rfam family "Bacterial small subunit ribosomal RNA". The record is from RNAcentral.